AUAUUAAAUGAAGCGAAUGAAAUAGAUACGAGUACUUAAAAGUAGAGACAAUUUCCUCAAAGGCUUGAACAGGUCAUGAAUACAGAUUGGUUUCUUGAUAAUUUACACCGGUGAACAUGUCAACAGAUGGAUUGCUUUUUCAAUCCAAUUAAAAACGCUUAACGUACGUUUACAUGAAUUACAAAAACAAUUCUACUCAAAACUAAACUUGGGGAAAAACAUAAAAAAGAAAGGAGGAGGAUCAGAGAAAGGAAUACACAAGAAAUUAAGACUUGGUGAAAACACUUUUUUCACCUUCAACUCGUGUUUCCAUUGGAACUGCCAAUCCUCUAGCCAAUCCUACGGGAUCAACCACAAAGACAUUAUCAAACUUAAUCCAUUGCUUAACACUGUUCAAGAAGUUUUUUUCUUUUUUGUUUCUGACAAAAAUACCAAAGAUGGAGAGUGGAGUUUUACGACCUUCCUCAGUUGGGGAACUGUCAAGGGGCUCCCCACAUCUCGACAGUUCCACACCAUAGCUUUCAUUUAACAUUUAGAGCCCCAAUAAGGGUGGGCUCCAACCCCUCAACUAGUUCCAUCUCCUUACAGUUUCCUUCAUCAGCUUUUAUUUUCUUCUUAUUUUCCUUCCCUUCUUGUUCCUUCCUUCCCUCCCACUCCAUGGUCUCCAUCUUCCUUUUCCCUCUCUCAUUCCCCGCAUCAACCUGAUUAACUUCCACCAAAGGCCUUCUUCUACUUACUUCCAGAAUCAGUCUUUUCCAUGUUUUGUUUGCCUUAUACAUUCCUUUCUCUCUAUCCCCCUGCUUUUCCAGUUUCUUUUUGUCUUCCAUUGCUCCCUUGCUUCCAAUACUCUUCUUGCCAUCCCCCAGCACCCUACUCUCAUUCCUCACCCCAUCAAUGCACAUAAGAUCAGUCAGCUCUUCCACAAAUCUCUCACUCUGGCUCACCUUUUGUUUCAAUUUUUGAUUCCUUUCCACCCUGGUGCUACUUUAACCACCCAUGUCCUCUCUUUCUGUCUUACCAUCACCCUUAUCCCCCAGGCUCCUUUCCAUUUUCCCUCCUACUCCUUUCCCAAUCCCCUCUUCCUCCCCAACUUUCUACUCAAUUAGAGACUCCUUCUCUCCCAAAUGAACCUUCCUAAUCACCUCUUCCUCAGUAUUAGGUCCCACUCCCUCCCUCUCAUGAAAUGCUUCUGUAUAUGUUAACAGCAAUUUUUUAUCCUGAGCAUUACCCUCACUCAUAGUCUGAGUUGAGAUUCCUCUUUUUCAGCCCCUACAUUCGUUCCCAUUCCUACUUCUCCUAUUAGGACUUCUAGGAUAGCUAGCUCUCAACUAAUUCCCAUACUGAGGUUCCCUCUCCUUAGCCAAUCCUUUCCUCCCACAGUUCCUCUCACUAUGCCCAACCAUACCAUAGCAGAAAUAGAAAUCAGGACAUUUUUCGUAUUUAAAUUCUAUCCAUCUCACCAUUCCAUUACUCUUAACCAUAAUUCCCCUUGGUAAAGGAACAGACAGAUCUAUUUCACCAAGGAUUUUUAGAUGUUUACCUUCUUUCCCUCCUCCCUGAGGAAUGAUCACAUCCUCCACUCUUGCGAAAAUGCUUGCUAUCUUCUUACCAACAUCCUUGGUGAUCCAAUGAAUUGGAAUAUUCCAGAGCUAAAUCCAUAUCAAUGCUUUACUCAACGCCUCUCCAUCCUCUUCCAGGCCAGCUCUCCAUUUCAAUAGGAUCUGAGAUUGACCGUCAUAGAUCCACGGUCUCUUAUUCAAAACCAAUUCCACAUCCUUCUCCUUCUAAAAAAGGAAUUGAAACAAGUUGCGACCAAUCUCCACCACUCUCAGGUUCCUCACUUGAGGCCACAUAACCCCUACAAAAUUCCUAAUACCUCCAAUGUUAGCUAGUUUAACCCCCUAAACUUUCCCAAUCAGGCUCAGUUUGCACUCCCUGACACCUUGAGCCAUCACCUCCUCCUCCAAACAGACUCCAUCUCUUUCUUCCUAUGAUAACUUGAACUUUCUUAAGACUUCCUCUAUAUUGUCCAUGACACCUUCCACAGACCAUACACUGAGAAUUCCAGUAGCUACCAAUCCGGCACAGAUCCAGAGCCAGUCAGAGUCCUUCGAUGCCUCCUUAUUAACUCCCAGCACCAGCUAGUUUUGCCACACACAAAGAAGACAAGCGAGAUCAAAAUAGCAAGAAGACAAAAGAAAACAAAUCAGAGAAUGUAAGACCAGAAGCUGAUCGAUUAGAUGUAGCUAGGCCACAUCAAAUCACGGAUAAUCGAACUGGAGCGAAGUUAUGGCUAUCACAACCAGCAAUUCUACUACGAGAUCAAAAGUAAUGGAAGAAAUCUACAAGUUUCCGUGAAUAGAAAGUUUUUUAAACCGAAACCUAGCUGAUUUUGAAUUUUCCUAAAUGAGUAACCACCCAUAAGGAGGACUUUCUCUCUCUAGGACAGAGAGAAUUCUCUUCCAUAGUGAGAUAAUGUCUCUUCUUUUUACAUGUCCCUUACUGUUAAGAUUUAAUUCAACUUGUAAGUGACUUAUUGUGGAGAAGUUGCCGAUCCCGAACUAAUUUGCUCCUUAAGUCGCAUUGUUCAGACAAAAGAAUUGUUCCGGGGCUAGUAUUCUUGGUGACACGGGAUUAUAUUUUUUGGAAGCAUAAUUGCCAAAUACCCGUAGGAGGAGGUUGUGGGUGUAUCUUUCACGGCAUUGGUAUCUUUUAUAUUUUUAUUUCAUUGAUUUUCUUUUUGGGAUCCAUAUGGAUUCUAAACUUGAUACUUGAGGCAUUGAUGGUAAUGUCCACUUUUAUUCAAGUUAAAUUUGAGUAUUUGUUUUUUUUUCCCACCUCUUCCAAAGUGAAAGUUUUAUUUUUAGUUUCUUUGGGCUGAGCUAUUUCGUAUUCCAAGCAUACUCAGUCAUUUUGAGUUUGUUUAAGCUUUUGAUCAUUUUUCCUUUGGUUUAUUCUAAAUAAAAUUUUGUUUUGUUAUGCUGGUGAUUUAAUAGUGCUUUAUUUGCUUGGUGAGUCAUUCAAUAUUGUCUUUGGUCUGCAUUUCUUGAGAACUGAUUCAAUCAUAUCUUGUUUUGACUGAAAGUGAAAUUGUCCAGAUUGCAAUGUGUAAAAUUGCCUUCUUCCCCUUUUUUAAGAUGGAAGAACUUAAAAAUGAUUAUUCAUAGUCCAUCCAACAAUUGAGAUAAUGGUUUUGGUAAAGCUUUCAGCACAUAAAUAGCAUGAUGCUCGUAUUUUGACCAUGUAAGUCGAAGUAGUAGAGCUUCUGUAAUUACAUGUUCGCAGAUUAAUAAAUGCUUUUGGUUGUAGUGUACUGUUUGUGCUUUGCACGAUACAUAUUUUAAAGAUAUUUUCUGAAUAUUAUAAAUAUGGGUGCACAUGAAAUGCCUAGCAGUUUAUCCAGUAAUCUAAAUAGAGAAGAUUAAGUAUAAUCCUUAGAGGUUAACAUAUUUGGGGUGGGCAGCUUCACCUGGUACUUCUACUUGAGAUGUCUACCCUUGCCAUCCAAACCUUAUUUUCUCAUAUAUUCUUCAAUAGUUUUACCAUAGCUUGCUUUAACAGCUUCCUGCCUGAGGUGAUCUUGGGAAUUAUUUAUAGAAGGUUAUUUUGUUAUGGUUGUUUUGAUAAUCAAAAGUUGAAAUUUCUGUUUUGCUAAAAAAUAUUGAUGCUUUUAACCUCAUUCGAAAGUUAUAAAUUUUCUCUGUCAUUUGGUUAAUUGCAGACUCGACAAUUGAUUUCUUCUGGGGCUAUGUGGCUGAUCUCUUCCUUUAGGCAUUUCCAACUCAUGCAGCCAUAAACUUGAAAACCACCUUGUCAUGGCAACUGGCAUGUUGAGGAAAAUAAGGAAAAAUUAUAAAUUUUUGGUUAAGUUUAGCCGCUGGCCAUAUGUAUUAAUAAUUAUUAUGGUUGGGCUUGGGGUCGGAGUUCGGCAAUUUGUCGUUGGCCCCGAUGGCAAACGCUUGAAUCAUCAUAAGAAGUUCUCUAGUGAACAUCUGUGGUGUAGUGUGUUUUUUUUGUGUCUUCUGGGUGUGUUGGUAAUGUUUGCUAUGCAAUUGGUGAUUUCUAGGUUGAAGAAAAAGAAAUGGACAAAAACGGAAUCAAUGGUAAAAUGUUUGGCAAAAACUGUCCUAGGGGUUGCUUUCUACUUUCUCGCUAUGUAUCUAGGCGCAUGCAUAGUUGAAGAUCAAAAAUCUUUUCUCUCCCUAGUGAUAAUGACGUGGUCCAUAUGUGCUGGUAAUUAUCACGGUUGGGCUUGGGUAGGAGUUCAACAAUUUGUUGUUGGGCACGAUGGCAAAUGACUAAGAAUUGACAUGCAUGUCUCUGGUUAUAGCCUAUGAUGGAUUGGAUUUAGUUGAUACUUUCUAUGCUUGCUCAUAAUAUUUGGGGUGCAUUUGGGAUCUCUAAUUGAAGGAGAAGGGUUGGGGUAGGAUUGAAACAUUCUUGUAAAAUCUUUGAUGAUAGCGGCUCUAAUGAUUGCUUUCUACUUCCUAUCGAUCAUGGACGUGUCAUGCUUUCUACUUCCUAUCAAUGAUGGACGUGCAUAAUCAUGGAUCAAAAAUAUGUUUUUGCAUCCCAAGUGAAAUUGACAUGCAAAUAGUCAGAAAUCUUUUGUUAUCUCGCUAUCCUUCAACUUCAUUAGAUAAGCUUACCAUGAUUUAGGCUUUUCAAAUCGACAAACCCCCAACCUAUCAACAGUAUCUAUUACAUAAUUCACCCUAACUAAUCUUAACAAACAUACAAAGAUAUUAAAAAAAUACACAUGCAUUAACAAAUAUGUUGUUUCUUAUUUAUUAUACACUCUGAUAUGUUGUAUAAUAGAUCUUAUUUAUUAUUGUUAAAUGUAUAGCAUCUCAUGCAUAAGUUGCAAAAUGGAUGAUGAUAUUUGGAUGUUUUGUGUUUUAUGGAGUGAAACACAUAUUUUCUACCAAUAAAGUGUGACAACAAUAUCUACUAAUUUAGACAAUACAUAACAAAUACUUAUUUAUACACAUGUAAGGUGGUUGAUAUUAAAUUGAAAUAUGCUAAAAAAAUACAAUUAUAUGUACGUUUCUGAUAUUUAUUGUAUUAACUUUUAUCAUGUAUUAUAAAAUAUAGAACAUAAUGUAGUUGUAUCAAUUGAAGACCAUAAAUCACAAAUGCAGAACAGAUUCCUAUUUAACUCUAAAAAUAGAAAAUAAGGGACUACUUCCUAUUAUAGCUUAAAAACUUUAUUUAUUCAAUUGGCCUUAAUUUAAAAAUAUACAAUUUAUUUAAAUUUUUUGACUAUUUGUAAUGAUGAUUUCUAAACCACUAUAAAUAAUAUGGUUUUUGACAAGUAAGUUAUGAUAUUUGUUUGGCAUUUAUUUAUAGAUCUAUUAAAAAUUGAUUAAAAAGGAAAAUGAUGACAGAUCCAUAAAAAAGAAUAAAAAUUCUACUUUGUCCUUUGUUCUUGUAAAUGGAGAAUAUAACCAGUUAUAUAUGCUCUAAACAGCUUGGUAAAAAGAACCAAAAGAACUUUAGACAAUGAAGAGUACAAUUAUGAAUUAAAUUUUGAAUUAAUUAUUUCUUUCUUUCUUACACUAAUUGACUUCCUAUCUAUGUUUAGGAAGAGAAAUACCCCCGUCUUCCUAGUUUCUGUAAAUAUUUAGAGUCAAACAAAAGGCAUCUUUAUUCAUAUCACUAGGGGUUAAGUAGAGGUAUUUCCUUAAAUAUUUUACAUCUUAUAUAAAUCUACAAGGUGGAAAGGUUAUAGGGAUAUUAUUGAACAAUAGGAGGAUUAUGCGGUAUUUUAAGGAAAUUGCUAUUUCCGUUAAAAUCAUUGAAUAACAAAUAUUUCGUCCACAAUCAUAAAUAGAAAAUAUCUGACUUUAACACACAUACUAGCAGUAAUUCAAGAUGAUUGCAACUGAUUGAACAGCAUAUGAAAUGCAUUCUAACAUUCCUCACUUUCUUGAUGGAGUAACUUGUCAACUACGUAGCUCAUUGUUGGUCCUGCAUCUAGGUCUUCCCCUAAGAGUUGGAGAGUAACUCGAACUAGAAAUUCAAUAUUUGUCAUAUCAAAUUCAACAUUCAUGGCAAAGUUUGCAAUUUUUGCAAUCACUGUUGGUGAUGUUCUUCCAUUUGUUUCAAGCAUCUUAUCUUUCACCCAUGUAACGUGAUCGACAUUGGAGUAAUUAGUGCUAUUCUAUUCUGAGCUAAAGACUUAUUACAAAAAUCAGUCAAUGGGAUUAAUUGUGCUUAAAAAUUGAAACACUUGGGACCACAUUUACUUUCAUCUAAACUUUAUGAACUAAAACUGCUCACGCCCUAAACAUUGGAGAUCAAAACCACAAUUCUUUCUAUUAUUCAACAAUAAGAGGAUUGCUUUGUAAUUUAAAGUAAAUUACUAUUUGCCUUAAAUUCAGAAAGAGAAAUAUUUCUUACUUUUAAUAUUUUGUUCACAACAGUAAGGUGGAAACAUAUAAAUUAUAUGAACACCAAAUAUCUAAUUUUAACACACAUAUUAGUCAGCAAUUUAAGAUGAUCACAACUCAUUGAAAAGUAUGUGAGAUGUAUCCUAAUAUUCAUCACUUUCUUGAUGGAGCAACGUGUCCAGCACUUGGCUCAUUGUUGGUCUUGCAUCUUUGUCUUCCUCUACGCAUUGGAGAGCAACUUGAACAAGAAUUUCCACCCUUGCCAUAUCAAAUUCAGCAUUUAUGACAGGGUCUACAAUUUUUGCAAUUGCUAUUGGUGAUGCUCUUCCAUUAGCUUCGUGCAUUUUCUCCUUCACCCAAGUAACUAGUCUCCUUGGCUCCAUUGCACUGGUGCUUUCCUCCAUAGAAUGGCCUUCAACUGGGCUUCUUCCAGUUAAUAAUUCCAGCACAACAAUUCCAUAACUAUAAACAUCAACUUUGGAGGUUAUAGGAAGAUUGAAAACCCAUUCAGGGGCCAUGUAGCCUCUAGUUCCCCUUAUCCUAGAAAACGUUGAUUUAUCUGUCCCACCUCUAUUCAAUAGUUUGGACAGGCCAAAAUCUGCCACCUUCGGCUGGUAAUUCGAAUCCAAGAGUAUGUUUUGAGGCUUCACAUCACAGUGCAAAACCCACUCUAAGCACUCUUCAUGCAAGUAAGCAAGUCCUUUGGCUGUACCAAGAGCAAUAUCAUACCUCUUUUUCCAGUCAAGUCUGUUAGAAUGCAGAUUUUUUGCUAGAGAACCAUGCUCCAUGUACUCAUAAACCAAUAGCCUGUGCUUACCUUCAACACAAUAUCCCCAUAUCUUAAUCAAAUUCAUAUGGUUCAACUUGCCAAUAGUACUCAACUCUGCAAGAAAUUCGGCUUCUCCCUGGUUGGCUUCAUUGAGACACUUUAUGGCAGCAACUCGAUUAUCUGUCAACACGCCUUUAUACACAAUGCCUCCCCCUCCUCGUCCUAUUUCUGCGCUGAAGUUUCUUGAUGCCUUUUUCAACUCAGCAAAAGUGAAUUUCCUGAAUCCUGUUGCAACCUGAGUGUAACCCUGUAUUCUUGCACUAGAUCCUCGUCGGGUUUUGAACAAGUAAGUGAAGAAACAGAGGAUCUCAAAAGUCCCAACUGCCAAAGUGCACCGCAAGGAUGACUUCACCCACCCAUGUUGACCUUUUUUCUGGUAUGCUCGGCCGAGUGAAGCAGCAUCGACUGUGCACUUUAUGUUGGUUUGUUGAAGAGGCUUUUGAUCAAAUGAGGUUAUAAUAGAUUGGGGCAAUCUUAGAUAAAUUGGGAAAUCAAAACCACUUGAACGAUACCCAUUGAACAAACUGGCCUUAGGGUAACAAUUAUAAUAGCCUUUAUCUUUAUCAAAUUUGAAUUGGAAGCCUUUACAACUGCAAUAGUUGAGGCAUAAAUUUUGACAAUUAUCAAGCGUGGAAUUACUAAAGAACCCAAUAUCAUAGCCAUAAAAUUCAACAUUUUGGAGAAGAAGAAAACCUGAUGCAUUACUAUCAUUGUAUGGCAGUUGGAAAUCUGGUUCGCAUCCAUAAGCCCAAUCUUUCUGGCUUUUGAUUUUGUAUCCAGGUGCACAAGUGCAUUUUCUUCCGGUCUCAUGCGCGUAAGUGCACAAACUAUUUUCUCCACAUAUCCCAUGAACUGUGCAUGGUUGCAGUGUGGAUUGCCACGUAACUUUCCAAUUCCGACUUGCCAUAUCAAGACUGUAGACCCGGACAUUGCCAUCAAAAUCCACGGUCAAUCUUCUUUGUAUGCCUGGACCAUAAUCAACAGUAAUAAUGUCAAACUGAUCUGAUGACUGGAAUCUCCCCCAUGAAUCAAGAGUGGCAACCUUACUGUUGUUAUAAGGGUACCUCCCGUUCUCCCAACUAUGUUUCCAUGGGUCAGGCCAUGAAAUACCUGCUGUUUGAGGACCCUGGUACAAUAGACUAAGGACGUUAUCAUCACCAAAGUAUAACUUGUAGAAUCCAGAAGAAUAAUUCGUCAGGCUUCUGGAAGAUAUGAGAACAGAGUUUUGGGUGAGCGACUGCCCUGGAAGAAGCGUGUUUGUUGGGGAGUUAAAGCUUUGCCAAAGAUUUCCGCCCUCUAUAUUGCUCAGCACAAGAUUGCCAUUGUCAUGGAGUUGCAAUUGAAGAGAAGAGUUUGAUUGCGUGCUACUUGUCCAAACAGUAAACUGUCCUGCAUCUGUCAGCACAAGACUGCCAGACUUGAGCAGGGAAAGCCUGGAAUUUUUUCCAUUAACCGGUCGGUCCCUAUUGGCCAUCCAGACAAUGGUGUAAUUUCCAUGAUCAUAUAGCUCAGUAAACCAUAUACUAAAGCAAUACGCAUUCUCGCCAACACUGAAAAAUCCCGCAGUGAAAUUUCCAUGCGGUUUUGAAAUCAGAACAUCUUUAGAAGAAAGUGAUGAUCCUGUAGUCAAACUAUCAGUGCUUUUCGAGGAUGAUACAAAUGCUAAUAACAAAGCUAAAACAGAAAUUAAGAUAGCAUUAAAGAAUAGACCCAUUGGAGUUGGAGAAGUGUAAUUUUGCAAGUACAUGCAUGCAAACUUCUUGUGGACAAACAUGGCAGAAAGUAGAGGAAUAUAUAGAUAGUAUGAGUGGUCUCUCGUAAGACAUGACUUCUUGACUUCUUGUGGUUUGUGGAACUACUUUUUGCAUAUUGGAAGUCAAGCCACUUUGAUAGUAUGAGUGGUAUCUCGUAAGACAUGACUUCUUGACUUCUUGUGGUUUGUGGAAUUACUUGUUGCAGAUUGGAAGUCAAACCACUUUGCUUUUUAAUUUUCUCAGGAGUUUGGCUUUGAUUAGACUGGUGUAGCUGGGAAUCAUCGCUCAAAUGUAAACUAGAGAUGCACACUUCCAGUUAUGGAGAUAAUUUGCUCGAGUUUUUUUUUCCUGUAUACUUACUAGAACUAUGACACUUUAUUUCUUAGAGGCUUGUUAAAAUCCUCAAAUCUGGUGAUAGAGAUAGAACAUACAACGAAAAGCCUAAUAUACACAGAACACUCUCUUUUCGUUUUUCUUUUUUGUCAAUUCCUGAUUUGGACUGGAAACAUUUUCAUAUCCUAGUCACCAGCUCGUCCCCCUCGGUAAGUAUCCUUUCAUUUAAUUGGGUGGUUCAUCCCAACUUCCAUGCAAGUCUCUUUAAACUCCCUUCAUAGACUAAGAAUAAGAGUAAGUUGGAUAAUUGUCAUUACAAACCAACCACUUCUAGAAUAGUUGAUCACUAAAAGAGUUUCAAUGCUCUACUUGGAUGUAAGACAAUGAAUCAAAUCUUUUACCCUACAUUCUAACAUUCAAGCUUUCCUGGAAAUGUUUAUUUAGCAGGUGCAUGGGCGUCCCGUCUAAACUGGGGAUGGUUCACCGGACUCCCCUAAAAAAAAAAUCUAAUUGGGUUGAGGCCGGAGGGGAUUGGGUCACUGGUUUCUCUAUAUGUUUUCAGAAUAAAAAGAAGUAAAUACUGUGUUAACCUUGGGGAGCCCACUACUUACAGCCCAUUUGUCCCCAACAUCUAACCUUUGGUGAUCAAUUAUUAAUGUGAUAAAUUUGCAUCCCCAGCUACCUCAUGUCUAUUGUCCGCAAUAUGUGUCUGUCGGGCAAUCACGUGUCCUUAACUAUGCCCUCCCUUUCUUCACUUCCAAAGAGUUCUCCUUGUAUUGGAAAAAGAAAAAGAUUUAGACCCUCUUUGAUAAUCUAAUGUCACAUUUAAAUUUAAUGAAUUCAAAUUUUAAUAUAUUCAGACUCAUUUGAUAGCAAAUGACACUGAAUUUUCUAGACAAAACUUGCUCUCAAAAUUAAGUGAUAAACUAUUCACUUAUUACUGAAUGUGAUAUAUACUCAAAUAUAUUAGAUUUAACACUUGACAAUUCAAUAAUUCAAUAAAUUCAACUUUCAAAUUUUAAAUUUUAGAUUUCAAACUUCAGUUUUUAAAUUUCAAUUUUAUCAAACGCACCCUUAAUAACCAUUAAUCCCAGAAACCCAACUCCGGUAGGCAACCGUGAGGUCCCGAUUCAGUCUUCCCUUUUUACUUGUAAAGUCUAGAGUUUCUCCUUCAUUCAUGUUACAAAAAAAAAAAAAAAAGGAAAAAAAAGGAGGAAGUUAACAUCCAUUAUUCCGUUUGCAUCUCUCUGAAUUUUCUACAGGUAAUAUUGUACAGCUGCGAGUUCUAGAACUACGAAUGGGAUGCAUCAAUUUUAACCGAAAUUAUUUUGUCUCCCAUAAGGAAGAUUUCAUGGCAUUUGGCCUUCUUUCAGACCUAAAAUUAAGGGGGUAAAAAAAAUUUCAUGGCCUGAAAAUUGAAGCCUAUGCAAUCCUAUCUUAUGCCGACUUUGAUGAGGUCCCAUCGGGUGUUUCACACUUUCUUCGUAAAGAUUUGCGCUUCACUUAAACGUCCUUGGGAAAGGUAAUAGAAUUAGUUUAUUUGAUUCAAUUCUUCGGCAAAAAUACUUCAGGCUAUCCCCUUUCACGCAUUUACGACAUGUAUAUUGAGUAUAAAUUCAUUGAAUUUGACCGAAAUGAAGGAUUGUGGGAUUUUUUUUUUCCUUUUUUUUGUGUGGGAGGGGACGGUUGUGUCCAUGUUGCUUCAUUUUUUCGUUUCUAUAGAUAUCGAGAUUUGACUGAUGUAAUUGAUUUUUUCAAUCGUCAUAACCACAUUAAAAAAUCAGGUCAACAAAAAAUCCCUAUUAUUGCACCCGCCCUCAUUUUCAAUUGAAUCCAUCCAACCCCUAUUGUUGUUGCCUUUUUCUCAAUUAAAGAAUAUCAAGGUUGCAUAGUGUGCUGAACAAUUUCCAGCAAUUCGUUAAUAAAUUUUGUUAUUUUUUAAUAAAAGAACUAAGUUUUUGCCAAUUGAACAAAUUAGAGAGCAUAGUGAGAAAUCGACAUUCUUGGCGAGGGUAAGUUGCAAUUAACCCAUUGCCGUUUCAAAUAUUCCUCUUAUUAGAAGCAAGUGAUUACUACGAUAUUCCAAUUGCAUCAGCGUAUGAAAAGUCAAUCACAUACUGCACACGCUAAUUGUUCAAAAGUCCUACAUUUUGUCUUCAAACGUUUUACCGAAAUGCAGUUAAUGUGAUAAAUUUGCUUGAGGUUGUCGAAGAUAAGCACAGUUACAAUAUAGACAUAUGAAAAAAAAACACUAUUGAAAACAUAUUAUUACUAAGUACAACAUUCUUUAACAUUUUUCACCAAAAAAAAUGUUAAAUAAAUAAAUAAGUAAUCAAAAAGAUAUUCCUGUUAUAAAUUUUGAUUUAUGCAUCUAUAUCUUUUUUCCGUAUGAUAAAAACAUGUCUUCUUUGUUUAACAAAUUGACUACUGCAUCUAAUUCUUGUUCUCCAUUCACUGCUCAGAGUUUUUCGUCAUCAAUCACCGGACCGCAGCAUCAGAUUUCCCAGUCCCUAAGGGGAGUGCCAUAUUAAAUGAAGCGAAUGAAACAUAUACGAGCUAGUACUUAAAACUAAGUAGAGACAAUUUCCUCAAAGGCUUGAACAGGUCAUGAAUACAGAUUGGUUUCUUGAUAAUUUACACCGGUGAACACGUCAACAGAUGGAUUGCUUUUUCAAUCCAAUCAAAAACGCUUAACGUACGUUUACAUGAAUCACAAAAACAAUUCUACUCAAAACUAAACUUGGGAAAAAAAAUAAAAAAGAAAGGAGGAGGAUCAGAGAAAGGAAUACACAAGAAAUUAAGAUUGGGACGACCAUUCUCAGAUUUAC
This 12136-nucleotide long non-coding RNA is filed under the name Coffea arabica (coffee). Its description in RNAcentral is "long non-coding RNA (CARA_LNC006720)". Lineage: Eukaryota; Viridiplantae; Streptophyta; Magnoliopsida; Gentianales; Rubiaceae. The record is from RNAcentral.